CCAAUCGAACUCGGAGAUAGCUGGUUCUCCCCGAAAUAGCUUUAGGGCUAGCCUCGUAUAAGAUUACCGGGGGUAGAGCACUGAAUGGGCUAGGGGGCCACAAAGCUUACCGAACCCUAUCAAACUACGAAUACCGGAUAAUUGGUGUACGGGAGUCAGACGGCGUGAGAUAAGUUUCGUCGUCGAGAGGGAAACAGCCCAGAUCUACGACUAAGGUCCCAAAAUCACAGUUAAGUGGAAAAGGAUGUGCAGUUGCACAAACAACCAGGAUGUUGGCUUAGAAGCAGCCACACAUUUAAAGAGUGCGUAAUAGCUCACUGGUCGAGUGAUUGUGCGCCGAAAAUGUACCGGGGCUAAACUGUGUACCGAAGUCUAGGGAUGUGGAGACACAUCGGUAGGGGAGCAACGUAUACGGGCAGAAGCCGAAGCGGAAGCGACGGUGGACUGUAUGGGAGAGAGAAUGCCGGCAUGAGUAGCGAGAGCAAAGUGAGAAUCUUUGCCGUCGAAAGCCUAAGGUUUCCUGAGGAAGGCUCGUCCACUCAGGGUAAGUCAGGACCUAAGCCGAGGACAGAAGUCGUAGGCGAUGGACAACUGGUUGAUAUUCCAGUACCACCUCAAGCGAUUGACAGAAGCAGUGACACAGAAGGAUAGACAGAGCACGGGGAUGGAAGGCCGUGUCCAAGCAGUGAGGCUGGUUGGUAGUGAAGUACGCCAACUAAGGCUGGGCUGUGAAGGGGACCGAAGAUCAGUAGGGAAGCUGUUGAAUUCACGCUGGCGAGAAAAGCUGCUAUGGAGCGAAGAGGUGCCUGUACCGCAAACCGACACAGGUAGGCGAGGAGAGAAUCCUAAGACGAGCGGGAGAACCCUUGUUAAGGAACUCGGCAAAAUGACCCCGUAACUUCGGGAGAAGGGGUGCCUCGAAAGAGGCCGCAGAGAAUAGUCACAAGCGACUGUUUAGCAAAAACACAGGUAUCUGCGAAAGCGAGAGCUGACGUAUAGGUGCUGACGCCUGCCCGGUGCUGGAAGGUUAAGGGGAAGUGUUAGGGGAAACCCGAAGCAGAGAACCGAAGCCCCAGUAAACGGCGGCCGUAACUAUAACGGUCCUAAGGUAGCGAAAUUCCUUGUCGGGUAAGUUCCGACCCGCACGAAUGGCGUAACGACUUGUGAGCUGUCUCAACAGGAGGCCCGGUGAAAUUGAAGUAUGUGUGAAGAUGCACAUUACCCGCGACUGGACGGAAAGACCCCGUAGAGCUUUACUGUAACCUGACAUUGGAUCUUGAUAACGGAUGCACAGGAUAGGUGGGACGCUGGGAGGUAUGGACUUUGGUCUGUACGGAGCGGACGUUGGGAUACCACUCUUCUGUUAUUGAGAUUCUAACCUCAAGCCGUAAGCCGGAUGAGAGACAGUGUCAGGCGGACAGUUUGACUGGGGCGGUCGCCUCCGAAAGAGUAACGGAGGCGCCCAAAGGUACCCUCAGAAUGGAUGGAAACCAUUCGAAGAGAGCAAAGUCAGAAGGGUGCUUGACUGCGAGACCAACAAGUCGAGCAGGUACGAAAGUAGGGCUUAGUGAUCCGGCGGUAAGAGAGUGGAAUUGCCGUCGCUCAACGGAUAAAAGCUACCUCGGGGAUAACAGGCUGAUCUCCCCCAAGAGUUCACAUCGACGGGGAGGUUUGGCACCUCGAUGUCGGCUCGUCGCAUCCUGGGGCUGAAGCAGGUCCCAAGGGUUUGGCUGUUCGCCAAUUAAAGCGGCACGCGAGCUGGGUUCAGAACGUCGUGAGACAGUUCGGUCCCUAUC
This 1796-nucleotide ribosomal RNA is filed under the name human gut metagenome. RNAcentral's name for it is "bacterial LSU rRNA". It matches the Rfam family "Bacterial large subunit ribosomal RNA", at positions 829 to 2642 of the family's 2925-position model. The record is from RNAcentral.